CCUACGGGUGGCAGCAGUGGGGAAUAUUGGACAAUGGGGGAAACCCUGAUCCAGCGACGCCGCGUGAGUGAAGAAGUAUUUCGGUACGUAAAGCUCUAUCAGCAGGGAAGAAAAUGACGGUACCUGACUAAGAAGCCCCGGCUAACUACGUGCCAGCAGCCGCGGUCAUACGUAGGGGGCAAGCGUUAUCCGGAUUUACUGGGUGUAAAGGGAGCGUAGACGGCUGUGCAAGUCUGGAGUGAAAUGCCGGGGCUCAACCCCGGAACUGCGCGGGAAACUGUGAAGCUGGAGUGCAGGAGAGGUAGGCGGAAUUCCUGGUGUAGCGGUGAAAUGCGUAGAUAUCAGGAGGAACACCGGCGGCGAAGGCGGCUUACUGGACUGUAACUGACGUUGAGGCUCGAAGGCGUGGGGAGCAAACAGGAUUAGAUACCCGAGUAGUC
This 440-nucleotide ribosomal RNA is filed under the name uncultured bacterium. RNAcentral's name for it is "partial 16S ribosomal RNA". It matches the Rfam family "Bacterial small subunit ribosomal RNA", at positions 338 to 795 of the family's 1533-position model. The record is from RNAcentral.